Molecule: long non-coding RNA, 2307 nt
Organism: Vespula vulgaris
Lineage: Eukaryota; Metazoa; Arthropoda; Insecta; Hymenoptera; Vespidae
Exons: 3
Source: RefSeq, a predicted model, not a curated record
AAAAAAUGGAUAUGAUUAAAGAUAUAAAGAAUAUUUUUUGGUUUAAUAAUUAAGAAAAAAGAACGUAACAGUAAAACUGACGAGAAACAAAAUAAUGAACCUCACAAAUCAUAAUUUAUAACGAUGGAAACUGACUUAUUGAUAUAAUCUGUCGUUUGAGUUUAAGUUGCAUUUAUUAAGCGCGGAUGUAUGUUCAAAGGAAAAUUUGUAACUUUCAUGAUAUACGUGAAGAAUUGAUACAGGUCAAUAAAAUAGUUCUAAAAUAAAUAAUCGUAUUUCGGAUUAUUUCAUUAUAUCUCAUUGAUUAUUUCAUUAUAUCUCAUUAAUCUCGCAUAUCGUAACUACCGUCAUUUAUUAUAUCUAAUUAUAUAGCUAAUUUAUCUCUCCCUCUCUCUCUCUUUCUCUCUUGCAAAAUUUGUGGUUAUGUUUCCUGCAUUUCUAUGAAAACACAUUCAUUUUGUCAAAAAAGACGAAUAAUUAAUUGAAUACACACCAUUUCGAGCCGUAUAUCGUUUAUCCAUCAAACGAAACGUAGAGAGUCGAUUUCUAUUAAGAGAAAGACACUUUCUUGUCUCCCCCUACAGUCUACAAUCGGUCUACUUUCUUUUACGAGCCAAUCACUGAUACGAAUGCGAACUCAUCGUAAAUACCGAUAGGUAUUUCCAAUCAUUGAGCUUACGACAAAUCGACAAUACAAUAUAACCGUUACGUAGAAAUCGAUUAUUAAAAUGAACCGUCGAUUGUUUAUUAAACUUGGAUUUUCCUAUUAUUUCGUGGCUCAGCCCUCUUUCUUCUGAGCUUCUGUCUCUAUUUACGAAAAUCUUUGAUAUUAUAUUUUACACAACGAAGAUCGGUCGAUUUGAUAACGCACCGAAUAACUCUGAUAAAAUAUUAUUCUAUUUAUUAAUUUUUGAAAUUAUAUGAAUCUCGAAUAUCUCGAUUGAUUGUUUGGAACUCGUGUGAGAAGAAAAUUACCUACGAGAAUGAUGAUCCUUCGAGAAGUCUAUGAGAUAUUGGAAAAGGAAUGAGAAUGAGAAGGAAACGAAUGGUCAACAAAUCCGAUCUUCUUCGUUGCGAUGGGAUAUAAUAUUAUUUUAUGCAUUAUAAACCACAUUUUAUGAUCUAAAUUGAAUCAAUAAACCAAUAAAGAAAAAUUGUGUUUAAAAUAUUAAAGAUAUAAAUAAAUGAUAUAAAAAAUCGGAUCGAGUGCCGAUCCUAAUGGAUGUUAUUCAAGUUAUCUGGGGAAAACCUGAACGAGAUAAGAACAGAAAAUAUAUUAUCAACGUAUCGUGUCGGCUCAAACUUGUACGUAUCGUUAAGACGUUUCUGAUUUUUAAAUGAUCCCAAAAUAUAAAGAAUAUCGAGAAGAAAAGAACAUCGAAUCUUAUUUUAUUACAUUAAUAAUAUUUACGAAUUUUGAUCACAAGAAAAAAGAUAUCAAUAUUCAAUUCGAACAUAUACUUAUAUAUCACGAUGUAAGAGACUAAACGCAAAAAAAAAUCCAAAUCCACGCGUGUCUCGUAAUAUGAAAGAAAGAGAUAGAUUAAUAAUUUUUAGCCUUGUAAAAUCCCCGUGUUUGUAUUUCUGCGAUAAUUUCAUUUGUAAGAUAACGAUAAGAUCGAUAUUUUCUUUCUUUUUAUUUUCUGGGCCCUUUGAAAAUACCUUUAUCUAUUUUUUAUCAAUCUUUCUCACAAUUUCGAGUAAAUUAAAAGGAAAUUAUUCAACGCUCUAUUAUUUCAUACUUAAAUUUGAACAAAACAUGUUUUCCAAACUAAAGGAAUCUUGGUUUUAGAGAAAUCAUCAUAAAAUUUGUCGAAUGUCAAGCGUUGUUGUUUGGUUAUACACGAGGUUGGGAAAGUACGAUGACUCAAUGACAAAACGGAAAGUAGUGGAUAUUUUUGCCCAGAUCUCUAUAGUCCCAGAAAAUUUUGAUCAUUGGAGUUUGGUUUCUUCGACUGAUUUUCUCGAUACUUGCACAGAAUAUCAAUGAACAAAGAUAAAUGCCGUUAAAAAAAAGAAAAGAGAAAAAAAUAAAGUUAAAAGCUUCAACAUAUAUCAAUUAUCUUUUCAUUUUUAACGUACGUUUAGAUUUACACAAUAAUGCUAUGUUAUGUCUAAAUGUGUUCCUUUAAACAAACAGUUAUUGUUAAAUACUUAUAAAUGACAGCUUUGUGAUCUAUGAUAACGAAGAUUUAUGUAUAUAAUCGUGCGUAUAUUGCAAUGAUUAGAAAAAUAAUGAUUCGCGGCUCAUGUGAUUGUAAUAAGCAGAUCUAAUUACAUUCGAGUUAAUGAAAUUGCUUACAUUCG